Long non-coding RNA from Tympanuchus pallidicinctus (lesser prairie-chicken), 1820 nucleotides. RefSeq lists it as uncharacterized. NCBI's taxonomy places the organism in Eukaryota, Metazoa, Chordata, Aves, Galliformes, Phasianidae. The record is from RefSeq and is a predicted model, not a curated record. The transcript has 13 exons.
CCACAUGGCUGCCGGCUCCUUGUGCUUUCCUCGCUAAACUGAUGUAAUUAAGCAGAAUUGUUCCCUUGCCUCCCCUGCAGCGCUUCAGUCCCGCAAAGUUUCUUCAAAGAAACCCCCAGCCUGGAACUGGUGCGGCUCUGCAGAGGGAAACGCCGCACUGUACUUCAAAGCGCAGAAAAUCUGCAGCUGCCGGGAGCCCGUCUGCCCCAGGAGGUGUCACUGUUGGGACUGGCAGGGUUUUUUGUUACUGUCUGCAUUGUAGACAGCGCAUUACUGGAGAAGCUGCAUAGACCUGAGGUAUGUAGUUCAGCCAUGCCAAAGACUCCACAGUCUGCACUGAACUACAAAACCAGUCCUGGUGCAGAAGCUAGGAGGUCUUGCUCAUCUUCUUCUUGCACUGACGGCACUUGCUGUGGAAAAGCAGAGGACCCAGACCCACCCCAGUACUCCAGGUUAUGUCCUGUCUUAUGGACUACUACAGAAUCACUAACAGCAUCGCACACAAAGGCACCACGGGACUCCCACCGUCACCAGAGCUCUCCGCCUGCCUCUGGCGCUGGGCUGUCAGAACCGCUUCAGCUGAAAUCAAGUUCUUUAGAUUUAUGCAGUAGCCAUGUUUGUCAAAGUAUUUGGCACCGGUGACAUCAUCUUUGUUGAAACGCCGGACAGCGUGAUGAGUCCCAGAUGUUAAUGCACACUGAGAGUCGAGAAAGAAUAAAAUUCAAAGGUCGACGCUAACAACUAUGGAGGAGUGCACUCACUUUACAUUCUGGGGUACAUGGAUGAAUAUGUGUUUUUUUACAACACAUCCUAAAGCUGUUAAACCUUAGAGGCCAUUUAAAAGAUGAGCAAGAACAAACAACGUGAUUAAAGGGUGCUGCCGAAAGCUGUACAGGUGUCAGCUGCCACCACUGCUCAUUACACAGAUGAAGCUGUCAACUUUUAAUUUAUAGACAAUUUGAGAAGGGGUACAUGAAGACUUGAAAAGAAGGCUUUCUUUCGCUAAAAGGAAAAAAAGAACUGUUAUAAGAACCUCUGCUGAAAUGCACUGGUCAUCAACACAGGAUACUGGAAGAUUCAGAGGGUGAGAGAAGACUGUUCGUACAGAAACUAGUUCCAAGGCUGGAAAAACCAGAUGAUGAUGUGUUGAAUUGAUGUUGAUGAAGUCUAUAUUUUGGAAACUUCAAUUAGAGCCAAAGAAUGUUUCCAGGGUGAAGCAGAAGAUGUGAGAUCAAAAUAGACACUGUCUUCUUGAGCUUUACUGACUGCAAAAACAGAAGAUAUUCUGCUGAGUGAUGUUUUUGUCCUGUCAUGUCCUAAGCUUCCACAUCCCCCUGUUCAAACAAAUGCCAGGCAGUCCCUGUGUUGGCUGCAGAAGGAGUUUGAGCAUGCAGACCAAGAUUAAAUCAUAACCAGAGUCUGUCUGAAACCCUGUCUGCCAGUAAGAACAGCAGCCGAGUUAAGAUGUAUCACAGCAAUGAGCUGCCUCACUAAAGCUGACUGAACAUUGAGUCUUGACUGCCUGCUUAUGACUGCACGUAACCUUUUCAAAAGCACCCAAAUACCUUAGAAGCUUGAUUCUCAUCGCAAGUUAGAUAGCUGAAGGUUCCCACAACCACUUCUGUUUUCCUGGAUACCCGUCAACUGUUCACACUCAGAGACCUUGGAAGGGUAACCAACUUUGAAGAUUUUGGAGCCGGCUUUUUGCCUGAAGGGAAACUAUUGAGUUUCAUCUCAUCCCUGUUGUGGUUAAUUCCAGGACACUGGGAAAGACCCGGAGCUCUAAACGCUGGAUUAAGAUCUUCACUUCAGCAGCUGAG